Molecule: long non-coding RNA, 730 nt
Filed under: Mus pahari (shrew mouse)
Lineage: Eukaryota; Metazoa; Chordata; Mammalia; Rodentia; Muridae
Description: lncRNA (MGP_PahariEiJ_G0012475.1)
Source: RNAcentral
CUCAAGUCGAGCCGCGCGGACUCUGGUUUCCAUUCAUUUUGAGCUGCGCCGGGUCGGGCUCCUACUGGGGAGCUGCGGCAGUUUGUUACUCGAGGCCGCCCUUCAGGGCGGGCCCCGAAGGCCCGGCCUGGUGGAGAGUUGGUUUUGUCAGCAGUUUGGGUUCUCCAUGUUUGACAGCUUCCCUUUGCUCACCCAAGCACCUGCCAGAACUAUGUGAGAGUCUGGACAUUUUCUGGCCUUCUCCUAAAAGAAGCUAAAGGGAUGUGUUUCUGAGUGUCGCCCUGAUCUUUCCAAAGUGUUGGUCAGAAGACCCAGGUUGCAGUAUGGUCCAGAGAGCAGAGCCAGCCUUUGUGCUGUGGAUCCCAUCACCAUUCGUUGCUGAAGAAGAAGCAGGGCUCAGGACAAGCAUGUCAAACACUCCUGACACUACAAAUCUACACUCUGCAACUAGCUGUCACCACAUGUUGUCUUCUCACCCUUCUCCACUGAAAAAGAAAAGGAAAAUGUAUGAUAGCCAAGUAAAAGAUGACAGGAAAUCUUCUAGUCAAGCUUAAUAGUAUUUGCUGUUUUAUUUUCUGUUUUACAGAACUGAAAAAUACCUAUUAGUGUAAAGACAUUAAGAAAUGCACAGAAAGAUGAAAAUAAAACCCCAUCCCAAGAGACUCCCUGCUUUUAGCAUUUUAUGGCAUUCUUCUCUAAACUUUAAUUAAAAGUUUCAGUGAUUUAAAAG